UGCCAGCCGCCGCGGUAAUACGGAGGGGGCAAGCGUUGUUCGGAAUUACUGGGCGUAAAGCGCGCGUAGGCGGCGAUGAUAGUCAGAGGUGAAAUGCCCGGGCUCAACCCGGGAGGUGCCUUUGAUACUUCAUUGCUAGGAUUCAGGAGAGGUGAGCGGAAUUCCGAGUGUAGAGGUGAAAUUCGUAGAUAUUCGGAAGAACACCAGUGGCGAAGGCGGCUCACUGGCCUGAGAUCGACGCUGAGGUGCGAAAGCGUGGGGAGCAAACAGGAUUAGAUA
This 279-nucleotide ribosomal RNA is filed under the name uncultured bacterium. RNAcentral's name for it is "partial 16S ribosomal RNA". It matches the Rfam family "Bacterial small subunit ribosomal RNA", at positions 506 to 784 of the family's 1533-position model. The record is from RNAcentral.